Molecule: ribosomal RNA, 624 nt
Filed under: uncultured fungus
Lineage: Eukaryota; Fungi
Description: eukaryotic LSU rRNA
Rfam family: Eukaryotic large subunit ribosomal RNA
Source: RNAcentral
CCCGCUGAACUUAAGCAUAUCAAUAAGCGGAGGAAAAGAAACCAACAGGGAUUGCCCUAGUAACGGCGAGUGAAGCGGCAACAGCUCAAAUUUGAAAUCUGGCUCUUUCAGGGUCCGAGUUGUAAUUUGUAGAGGGCGCUUUGGCGUUGGCAGCGGUCUAAGUUCCUUGGAACAGGACGUCACAGAGGGUGAGAAUCCCGUAUGUGGUCGCUUGUCUUCGCCGUGUAAAGCCCCUUCGACGAGUCGAGUUGUUUGGGAAUGCAGCUCUAAAUGGGAGGUAAAUUUCUUCUAAAGCUAAAUAUUGGCCAGAGACCGAUAGCGCACAAGUAGAGUGAUCGAAAGAUGAAAAGCACUUUGGAAAGAGAGUCAAAAAGCACGUGAAAUUGUUGAAAGGGAAGCGCUUGCAGCCAGACUUGCCUGUAGUUGCUCAUCCGGGAUCCUUCCCGGUGCACUCUUCUGCGGGCAGGCCAGCAUCAGUUCAGGCGGUUGGAUAAAGACCUAUGUCAUGUAGCUCUCUUCGGGGAGUGUUAUAGGGUAGGUGAAAUGCAGCCAGCUUGGAUUGAGGUCCGCGCAUCUGCUAGGAUGCUGGCGUAAUGGCUGUAAGCGGCCCGUCUUGAAACACGG